This 72-nucleotide non-coding RNA is filed under the name Trichobilharzia regenti. The record is from RNAcentral. Lineage: Eukaryota; Metazoa; Platyhelminthes; Trematoda; Strigeidida; Schistosomatidae.
GUACUGCUGAAGAGUCCCAAACUAAUUCCAUUAUAAGUCCCAAACUAGGCUGACGAAACAGCUGUCCAGUAC